Molecule: transfer RNA, 73 nt
Filed under: Thermoleophilaceae bacterium
Lineage: Bacteria; Bacillati; Actinomycetota; Thermoleophilia; Thermoleophilales; Thermoleophilaceae
Description: tRNA-Lys
Rfam family: tRNA
About the family: Transfer RNA (tRNA) molecules are approximately 80 nucleotides in length. Their secondary structure includes four short double-helical elements and three loops (D, anti-codon, and T loops).
Source: RNAcentral
GCCCCCGUAGCUCAAUGGCCAGAGCGAGCGCCUUUUAAGCGCAGGGUUGGAGGUUCGAGUCCUCCCGGGGGCA